This 208-nucleotide long non-coding RNA is filed under the name Elaeis guineensis (African oil palm). RNAcentral describes it as "long non-coding RNA (EGUI_LNC081629)". Lineage: Eukaryota; Viridiplantae; Streptophyta; Magnoliopsida; Arecales; Arecaceae. The record is from RNAcentral.
UGGCCAAAGAUGAUUAUCAUUCAUUAAUAAAGGAAGAUUAUUGUGAUAUUAUUAUGAAUAAUAUUACAAUAAUACAUGGAUACUAAGGAAAUGACAUUUAAUAUUUACACAGCCUAUUAAGUGUAAUGUACACACCUAAGUUAGAUAAUGUCAUGGAUGUCUAUCUUUGGCUUAGUCACCUUGACAAGAAUAGGAUAAAUGGAUUAGC